RNAcentral lists this long non-coding RNA (1935 nucleotides) under Olea europaea (common olive). RNAcentral's name for it is "long non-coding RNA (OEUR_LNC004790)". Lineage: Eukaryota; Viridiplantae; Streptophyta; Magnoliopsida; Lamiales; Oleaceae. The record is from RNAcentral.
UCGGCCAAUCAAAUCAAGACGAUCUAAUUUCUGCCCUUGAUUUAGGUAUUACAAUUAUUAUUGAGUUAUGAAUGAAUAUGACAUUUAUUAUUCAUAUAAUUCUGUUCAGGUAUUCUAUCAUGUUGUUGAUAUUGAUAUGAGCUUUCACCCAUUAAGUUUACAUUUUACAAAUCAUCUAUGAAGAAGUGGCUUUUAUUCACAAAAGAAACAACUCACGGGUACCGUAGGCUGCACGAGUGUGAGUUAGGACAACUCACUAGAUAUUAUAGUAUAUCGGCCUCCAUGCGUUGGGAUGACUUAUCUUGUCAUACACAAAAGAUAUUAAGAUAGAAAUCAUGAGUUCACAGUUGGCAGUGAGUGAGGACAGCUCAUCAGACAUUAUGGUACAUUGACCUUCAUGGGAUGGGGUUACUUGUCAUUGACAUUGGAUUGGACAUAUUAGCCCUUGUUUGAGCCCCAUUUUGGGGGCAGGAUGAAUUUUUGAAUAGUGUAUUGAUGUGAAAUAUGUGGUUAAAAAAUAAGGAAAAUUUUUAAAUUUGUGUGUAAUAUUAUUUUAUUGAAAAUGUGUGGUUGAUAUGGUGUCAAAACACUUUUGAAAAAUGUAUUUUUACCAAAGAAUAGGGAUCAAACAAGGGCUUAGUAUGUUCUAUUCGAUAGAAAACAUUGAAGAAAAUGGAAGUCGAUCUAUUAAAAAAAUCUCUUGGAUAAAUUUGUGCAUCUAUUUAUUACGUGUGUCCUUAAUCUCCAAGGAAUAAUAGACCUAAAUCAUAGGAUUAGUUACUUUGAGAUGUCAAAAAGUGAUGCCUUAUUGACGGUCAAUACUCUCGAUAUAUCGGGUGAUUACUUUGCAUAAUUGUGGAGAUAUACUCAAUAUAGACACCAUAAUAUCCUCUGUGCUAGGUAUGACUGUGGUGAUCAUGAAUCUAUGUGGAUGGUACUUCUAAUUAAUGGAGUUAUAAUAGAAUUUAUUAUUAAGAUAUUUAUUAGGACUUGGAUUUCAAAUAUAGAUAUGUAUCACUGAUGGUUGAGAUUAGUGACUCAAAAAAUGUUAGAAUGCCUAGAUGUAAUAUAACAAGUUGAUAAUGUUUAUUCCUCUAGAUUACUUAUAUUUGUCCAUGGACCAACUUACGUUUGGCCCCCAUUUUUUAAAAAUGAAAAUGGUUGGAAUAGUAUUUUUUUUUUUUGAAAAAUGAGUGGUUGAAAAAGAAUGAAAAGUUUUCAAUUUAUGUAUAGUAUUAUUUUAUGAAAGAUUGUGCAGUUAAAAAUAGGAGAGAUAAAAAUGGAAUGUAAUGUAAUAGAAUUUAAUGUGGACCAAACGGUGGCUAUAUAAUGAUUCGUAGGUAAAGUACAUGAUACAAUUGAUUAUAUUAAUUCAAUAUAUUUACACAGGAUGCUAGAGUGUAAUCAUAUUCUUGUAUGGAUCACAAUGAGAUAAUGGGCAUGUGUGAAAGCCUAUUAGAACUAUGAUUUGCGGUGAGAUAGGUUGAGAGACAGAAAUUUUGGAUCGAUCACAGUGUUUUCAGAUUUACAUUUUUGGAUUUUAAGGUAAAUCUCUUCCUUUCUCCUACUACAAUAAUUGAAAGACACGGUCCUAUGUAUUCAUGGCUUACGAUUCGAGAACCGCAUUUUGCCUAACUAAUGCUAGUAUUAAGAGAUGAUAAAAGACAGAUAUGUCAAUCUGUAACAUAAAGAACUUAACCAGAAGAAAGUAUUGUAUGCACAAUUCAGUUCGAACCAAUGGAAGGCUUAAUUCAGUUACAUAAAAAGAGAAAACAGCCAGAACAAAGUUUAAUUCAUAUAUCAAAUCAACUUAUACUUGAGUUAAAAAUAAUUAAAUUCAAAUUCCGCUAUUGUAUUUUUAAUCAUUAAUGAAACAGAUACUGGAAAUUUAUCAACCUCCAAUCCCUUGCAUUUUUAUCCACUUGUGUUGCAAGC